RNAcentral lists this ribosomal RNA (242 nucleotides) under uncultured bacterium. RNAcentral describes it as "partial 16S ribosomal RNA". It matches the Rfam family "Bacterial small subunit ribosomal RNA", at positions 15 to 254 of the family's 1533-position model. The record is from RNAcentral.
GAUCCUGGCUCAGGAUGAACGCUAGCUACAGGCUUAACACAUGCAAGUCGAGGGGCAUCAGGAAGAAAGCUUGCUUUCUUUGCUGGCGACCGGCGCACGGGUGAGUAACACGUAUCCAACCUGCCCUUUACUCGGGGAUAGCCUUUCGAAAGAAAGAUUAAUACCCGAUAGCAUAAUGAUUCCGCAUGGUUUCAUUAUUAAAGGAUUCCGGUAAAGGAUGGGGAUGUCUCUAGUUGUUGGUG